Molecule: small nucleolar RNA, 106 nt
Organism: Dioscorea cayenensis subsp. rotundata (Guinea yam)
Lineage: Eukaryota; Viridiplantae; Streptophyta; Magnoliopsida; Dioscoreales; Dioscoreaceae
Source: RefSeq, a predicted model, not a curated record
AACCCAUGAUGAGGCCAGCACCUGAAAAGAUCCUUGAACAUCUCAUGUGCCUCUAACAAUGUUUUGGACUUUCUUUGCUUGAAUGCUGAGAUCUCCUGUCUGGUCU